CACUUUAGCAGGGGUCUCCAACCACAGGGCCACAGAGCCGGAGCUGGAUCUACCAUGAAAGACUUCAGAGUCCAGGAAGAGAGACUGACUGGGCAACAUGUUAUUCAGGUCUUGCUCGGUUGUCCAGGCUGGAGUGUGGUGGUGCUAUCACAGCUGUCUGAAGUCUCAACCUCCCAGGCUCAAGCAAUCCUCCCACCUCAGCCUCCCAAGUUGCUGAGACUAUAGGUGCUUGCCUCUAUGCCCAACUCAUAUUUGGACUUUUUCUAUAUGUGGGUUCCAGAGGGAUGACUGCGAAACGUGAGAUGGGACCAUCUAGUCGCAGGAAAACAGGCUUAACACGGCCACUGAUUCUACAUUAUGCUCCUGCCUCCCAGUGGCCUCUUCAGGCCCAGAACUUUCUCCACUCAGCCUCUACAGACCAAGCUCAUGACUCACAAUGGCCUAUUUAGGCCCAUACCAUACCUCACGACAGUCUCCGCAGAUGAGGCUACUGCCUCACAACAGCCUCCACAGGCACAGCUCCAUCGUUACAAUGGCCUCUUUAGACCCAGCUCCUGCCUCCCAGCCUUCUCUCCAGGCCCUGAACUUUCUCAAGUCGACCUCACCAGGCCCAGCUCCUGCCACUCAUUGGCCUCCCAAGGGCCAGCUUUUGCCUCACGGCCACCUUCCAAGACCCAGCUUCUGUUUUACAGUGGCCUCUUGAGGCCCAUCUUCCAACUCCUGGCAGCCUGUACAGGCCCAGCUCCUGCCUUACAAUGGCCUCUUUAGUCCCAGCUCCUGCCUCUUUGCAGGAGGCCCAAAUGUCUGCAAGUCCAGGCCACAAAAUCCAGGGCCAAAAUGUCCACAAGUCAGCCUCUCAAGGCCUAGCUCCUGCCUUUCGUUGGCAUCUCUAGGCCCAGCUGCUGCCCCCAGGUGGCCUCUACAGGCUGUGCUCUUUUCUUCUGACUGUGUCUGGAGGUCCAACUCCUGCCUCAGAACAACCUCUUUUGGCUCAGCUCCUGCCCAGCUCCUACUGGCCUUUGUAGGCCCAAAACUGCCUCAAGUCAAGCUUUCCAGGCCCACCUUCUGCCUCCCAAUGGCCUGGACAGGCCCAGCUCCUGCGUGACAAUGGCCUCUCCAGGCCCAGCUUUUGCCUCACAGAGGCCUUCCCCAAACAAGGUCCUACCUGCCUCCCAGCAGCCUCAACAGGCCCAGAUCCUGCCUCACACUAAUCUCAUUAGGCCCAGGUCAUGCCUCAUGGUGGCCUCUCCAGGCCCAGCUCCUGCCCCCCGACAGGCUGUCUGUGCCAGAAACUUCCUCAAGUCGGCCUCUCCAGGCACAGCUCCUGCAUCCCAGCAGCUUCUCUAGACCGAGAACUUUCUCAAAUCUGCCAUUCCAGGCCCAAUUUGUGCCUUCUGUCAGCCUCUACAGGCUCAACGUCUGCCUCACAGCAGAUUUUCCCAGCCCAGCAUGUGCCUCACUGCAGCCCCCUAGGCCAAGCUCCUGCCUUUCAGCAGCCUCUACAGGCCCCACUCCUACCUCAAUGGCCUCUCUAGGGCAAGCUUAUGCCUCACAGUGGCCAUUCUGGCCCAGCUUUUGCCUUUUGGCAGCAUCUCCAGACCCAGAACUUCCUCAAGUGGGCCUGUCCAGGCCCAGCUCUUCCUCCCGGCUGCAUCUCCAGGCCCACCUCCUACCUCACAACAACCUCUUUCGGCUCAGCUCCUGCCCGGCUCCUGGCAGCCUUUAUAGGCCCAAAACUUUCUCACAUCAAGUUUUCUAGCACAACCUUCUGCCUCCCGGCAGCUUGAAUAGGCCCAGCUCCUGAAAGACAGUGGCCUCUCCAGGCUCAGCUCUUGCCUCACAGAGGUCAUCCCUGGCCAAGUUCAUGCCUGCCUCCCAGCAGGCUCAACAGGCCCAGCUCCUGCUCCUGACAGUCUCUCCAGGCCAAAAUCUUCCUCAAGUAGGCCUCUCUUCAGGCUGAUCUCUUGCCUCACACUGGCCUGUUUAGGCCCAGCUCAUGCUUCUUGGCAGCCUCUCCAGGCCCAGCUCCUGCAUCUUGGCCUCUCCAGGCCCAGCCUCUGCCUCCCGUCGGCCUCUACAGUCACAACAUCUGCCUCACAGCAGAUUCUUCAGGCCCAGUAUCUGCCUCACUGUGGACCCCCCAAGUCAAGCUCCCAACCUUUCAGCAGCUUAUACACACCCAGCUCCUGCCACCCAGUGGCCUCUUUAGGCCAAGCUGGUGCCUCACAAGGGCCUUUCCAGGCCCAACUUUUGUCUCAUGGCAACCUUCCCUGGCCAGAUUCCUGCCUGUCUCCCAGCAGCCUAGACAGGCCCAGUCUUGCCUCACACUGGCCUCUACAUCCAGCUCAUGCCUCACGGUGGCCUCUCCAGGCCCAGCUCCUGUCCCAGGACGUCAUCUCCAGGCCCAAAACUUCCUCAAGUCAGCCUCUCUAGUCCCAACUGCUGCCUCCUGGUGGCCUAUGAAGGCCCCAAAUCUCCUCAAGUUGACCUCUCCAGGCCCAGCUCCUGCUUCCUGUCAGCGUCUACAGGCCCAACCUCUGUCUCAUGGCGGCUUCUCCAGGCCCAGCUCUUCCUCUUGGCUGAGUCUACAGGCACAACUGCUGCCUCACAACUGCUGCCUCACAACAGCCUUUUUUGGCCCAGUUCCUGUCCAGCUCACGGCGGCCAAUGUAGGCCCAAAACUUCCUCAAGUAAAACUCUCCAGGCCCACCUUCUGCUUCCCGGUGGCAUGGACAGGCCCAGCUUUGACUUGAGAACAGCCUCUGCAGGCCCUGCUCUUACCUCUCAGGGGCUUCUCCAGGCCCAGCUCUUGUCUCAUGGCAGCUGCCCCAGGCCAAGUUUCUGCCUGCCUGCCAGCAGCCUCAACAGGCACAGCUCCUCCCUCACAGUGGCCCAUUUAGGCCCAACUCAUGACUGUCGGGCCAUUUCCAGGCCUAGUGCCUGCCUCCUGGCUGACUCUCGAAGCCCAAAACUUCCUGAAAUUAGCCUUUUGCUCAACUUCUGUGUACUGUCGGACUAUACAGGCAAGCCUCUGCCUCACAGUGGACCCUCCAGACCCAGAUGGUGUCUCACUGUGGCAUCCUCAGGCGAAGCUCCUGCCUUUUGGCAGCCUCUACGGGCCCAGCUCCUGCCUUGCAAUGGCCUCUUUAGGCCAAGCUCAUGCCCCAUGGCGACUUUUCCAGGCACAGCUUUUGCCUUUUGCAGCCUGUCCAGGCCCAGAAUGUGCUUAACUCGGCAUCGCCAGGACAAGCUCAUCCUCCUGGUGCGUCUACAGGCCCGUCUCCUGCCUCACAACAACCUCCUUUGGCCCAACUCCUGCUGAGCUGCUGGCAGCCUCUGUAGGCCACAGACUUCUUAAAGUAAAGCUUUCCAGGCCCACCUUCGGCCUCCCGGCAGCCUCAGCAAUCAAACUAUUCCCUCACUGCAGCCAAGUUUCUCCCUGCCUCACGGCAUCCUCCGAAAACUGAGCAUUUGCCUCAUGGUGGCCUCCCCAGGCCACGAAUCUGCCUGCCUCCAAGGCAGCUGCUGCCUCACAAUGGUCUCUUUAGGCCGAGCUCAUGCUAGAAGAUGGACUCUCCAGGCACAGCUCUUGCCUCCUGGCAGCCUCUGCAGGCCCAAAUUCUCCAAAAGUUGGCCUCUCCUAACUCAGCUCCUGCCUCAUGUCGGCCUACACAGGCCCAGACUCUUACCACACAGUAGACCCUCCAGGCCCACCACUUGCCUGAGCAUAGCCUCCUAAGGCCAAGCUCCUGCCUUUCAGCAGCCUCUACAGGCCCAGCUCCUGCCUCGCAAUUGCCUUUGUAGGCCAAGAUCGUGCCGCGAAGUGGCCUUUCCUAGCCUAACUUUUGCUUUUUGACGCAUACUCCAGUCCCAAAACUUCCUCCAGUCAGCCAGUCCAGGCCAAGCUCUUCCUCCCAAAGGCUUCUGCAGGCCAAAAUCAUUCUGAAGUCACCCUCUGCAGGCCCAGCUCCUGCCUCCAAGUGCUGUGUAGGCCAAGCUAAUGCCUCACAGCACACUUUCCAGGCUGAGCAUUUCCUUUUGUGCAUACUCUCCAAGCCCUGAACUUACUCUAGUUGGCCUCUCCAGGCCAAGCUCUCCCUCCCAGUGGCCUCUACAGGCCAAAAUUGUUCUCAAAUCAGCCUCUCCAGGGCCAACUCCUAGCUACCGGUGGCUUCUGCACACCAAAAUCGACCUCAAGUCAGCCUCUCCACACCCAGCUCUUGCCUCUAAGUGACCUCUGCAGGAGCAAAACUUCAAGUCGGCCUCUCCAGGCCCAGCCUCCUGCUUCCCGAGGGCAUGUACAGGCCCAGCCUCUGCCUCACAGCAGACUCUCCACGCCCAGCUCUUCCCUGUCUGUGGCCUCUCCAGUCCAAAGCUGUUCCUGCCUUUAGGCAGCUUGUACAGGCCCAGCUCCUCCGUCACGGUGGUCUCUUUCGGCCCAACUCAUGCCUCUUGCAACCUACCCAACUGUCAGUUCCUGCCUCACACUGGCCUGUUGAGGCCCAGCUCAUGCCUCUUGUGGCCUCAACGGGCACAGCCCCUGCCUGACGGUGGCCUCUACAGGCCCGGAGUCUACCUCACAGUGGGCUCUCCAGGCCCAUCUCUUCCUAACUGUGGCCUCCUGGGGCAAUGCUCCUCCCUCUCAGGAGCCUCUGCGGGCCCAGCUCCUGCCUCCCAGUGGCCUCUGUAGGCGAAGCCUGUGCCUCAGGGCAGCCUUUCCAGGCCUAGCAUUUGCUGCUUUGCAUCCUCUCCAGGCCCUGGACUUCCUCCAGUCGGCCUCUCCAGGCCGAGCUCUUCCUCCCGGCGGCCUCUGCAGGCCCAGACUGUCAAGUCAGCCUGUCCAGAGCCAACUCCUGCCUCCUGGCAGGCUCUGCAGGCCCAAGUCAUCCUCAAGUCGGCCUCCCUAGGCCUAACUCCGGCCUCUCGGCGGCCUCUCCAGUUGCAAAAGUUCCUCGAGUCAGCCUCUCCAGGCCCAGCUCCUCCUGUCUCCCAGUGGCCUCUUUCGGCCCAGCCCAGCUCAUGCCUCCCGGCGGCCUUUCCAGGCCCCGCUUUUGACUUUCGGCGGCCUCUGCAGGCCCCGAACUUGACGUCCAGUCAGCCUCUCCAGGCUCGGCCUCCUGCCUCCCAAAGGCUUGCACAGGUCCAGCCUCUGCCUCACAGUGGACUCUCCACGAAUAGCUCGCUCUCGCCUCACUGCGGCCUCCCGAGUCCAAAGCUCCUGCCUCUCGGCCGCUUCGGCAGGCCCAGCUCCCGCCUGCCAGUGGCCUCUUCAGGCCCAUGGGGCUCAUUCCUCACAACGGCCUUUCCAGGCCCAGUUUUUCCCUUCCGGCGGCCUCUCCGGGCCCAGAAGCUCCUCAAGUCGGCCUCUCCAGACCCACUUGCAGCCUCCCGGCGUCCUCUCCGGGCCCAGCUCUUCCUCCCGGCUGCGUCUGCAGGCCCGACUCCUGCCUCCCAACAACCUCUUUGGACUCAGCGCCUGCCCAGCUCCCGCCGGCCUUUGUAGACCCUGAACUUUCUCCAGCGAAGCUCCUCAGGCCUACCUCCUGCCUCCCGGUGGCCUGUACAGGCCCAGCUCUGGCUGGAGAACAGCCUCUGCAGGCCCCGCUCUUGCCUCCCAGGGGCGUCUCCAGGCCCAGUUCUUGCCUCACGGCGGCCUCCCGGGACCAAGUCCCUGCCUGCCUCCCGGCAGCCCGCGUGCAGUCCAGCUCCUCCAUCACGGUGGCCUGUUGAGGCCCAACUCAUGCCUCUGGCACCCUUUGCAGAGGCAUGAGCCCCUGCCUCACACUGGCCUCUCUCACGCUGAGGGAGGUCAGCGUGAGCCCUUGCCUCACACUGGCCUCUCUCACGCUGAGAGAAGUCCUCCCUCACACUGGCCUGUUGAGGCCCAGCUCAUGCCUCUGUUGGCCUCUCCAGGCCCAGGCCCUGCCUGUUGGCGGCCUCUAGAGGCCCAGCCUCUACCUCAACAGUGGGCCCUCCAUGCCCACCUCUUGCCUCGCCGUGGCCUCCUCGGGCCAGGCUCCCGCCUUGGGGUGGCCCCCGCAGGCCCAGCUCCUGCCUCACGGCCCUCCGGAGGCCAAGCUCAUGCAUCAGGGUGGCCUCUCCUGGCCUGGCGUUUGCUCCUUUGCAUGGGCUCCAGGCCCUGCAUUUCCUCCAGUCGGCCUCUCCAGGCCCAGCUCUUCCUCCCGGCAGCCUCUGCAGGACCAGACUGUCGUCAAGUAGGCCUGUCCAGGGACAGCUCCUGCCUCCCGGCGGCCUCUGUAGGCCCAGACUGUCAUCAAGUAGGCCUGUCCAAGGACAGCUCCUGCCUCCUGGCAGCCUCUGUAGGCCCAAGUCGUCCUCAAGUCGGCCUCCCCAGGCCCAGCUCCGGCCUCUCGGCGGCCUCUCCAAGUGCAAAAGUUCCUCGAGUCCGUCUCUCCAGGCCCAGCUCCUCCUGUCUCCCAGUGGCCUCUUUCGGCCCAGCCCAGCUCAUGCCUCCCGGCGGCCUUCCCAGGCCCCACUUUUGACUUUCCGCGGCCUCUGCAGGCCCCGAACUUGUCCUCCAGUCAGCCUCUCCAGGCCCGGCCUCCUGCCUGUUGGUAGCCACUAGAGGCCCAGCCUCUACCUCAACAGUGUGCCCUCCAGGCCCACUUCUUGCCUCGCCGUGGCCUCCUCGGGCCAGGCUCCCACCUCGGGGCGGCCUCUGCAGGCCCAGCUCCUGCCUCACAGAGGCCCUCUGGAGGCCAAGCUCAUGCGUCGAGGCGGCCUCUCCCGGCCUGGCGUUUGCUCCUUUGCAUGGGCUCCAGACCCUGCACUUCCUCCAGUCGGCCUCUCCAGGCCCAGCUCUUCUUCCCAGCAGCCUCUGCAGGACCAGACUGUCGUCAAGUAGGCCUGUCCAGGGACAGCUCCUGCCUCCUGGCAGCAUCUGUAGGCCCAGACUGUCAUCAAGUAGGCCUGUCCAGGGACAGCUCCUGCCUCUUGGUGGCCUCUGCAGGCCCAAAUCGUCCUCCCCAGGCCCAGCUCCGGCCUCUCGGCGGCCUCUCCAGGUGCAAAAGUUCCUCGAGUCAGUCUCUCCAGGCCCAGCUCCUCCUGUUUCCCAGUGGCCUCUUUCGGCCCAGCCCAGUUCAUGCCUCCCGGCGGCCUUCCCAGGCCCCGCUUUUGACUUUCCGUGGCCUCUGCAGAUUCCGAACUUGACCUCCAGUCGGCCUCUCCAGGCCCGGCCUCCUGCCUUCCGAAGGCCUGCACAGGCCCAGUCUCUGCCUCACAGCGGACUCUCCACGCCCAGCUAGCUCUUGCCUCACUGCAGCCUCCCGAGUCCAAAGCUCCUGCCUCUCGGCCACUUUGGCAGGCCCAGCUCCCACCUGCCAGUGGCCUCUUCAGGCCCAGCCCUCCGAUGGCGUCUCCAGGCCCUGAACAGCCUCCAGUCGGUGGGCUCUUCUAUGCCCAGCUUGGGCCUCCCGGCGGCCUCUGCUGGCCCAAAUCGUCCUGAAGUUGUCCUCUCCAGGCCCAGCUCCGGCCUCCCGGCGGCCUCUCCAGGCGCAACGCGUCGUCAACGAGGGCCCCUCCAGGGCCAGCUCCUGCCUCUCGUCGGCCUCUAGAGGCCCAGCCUCUGCCUCCCGCAUGGCGGCCUCUGUAGGCCCAGACUGCCCUUGAGUCAGGCUCUCCAGGGCCAGCUCCAGCCUCCCGGCAGACUCUGCAGGCCCAAGUCAUCCUCAAGUCGGCCUGGAAGUGGGCCUGGAAGAGCUGCACGUUGGCCUCCCCGGGCCCAGCUCCGUCCUCUCGGCGGCCUCUCCAGGUGCAAAACUUCCUCGAGUCAGCCUCUCCAGGUCCAGCUCCUCCUGCCUCCCAGUGGCCUCUUUCAGCCCAGCCCAGCUCGUGGCUGUAGGCAGCCUUCCCAGGCCCUGCUUUUGACUUUUGGCGGCCUCUUCAGGCCCAGAACUUGAUCUCCAGUCAGCUUUUGCAGGCCCGGCAUCCUGCCUCCCGAAGGCCUGCACGGGCCAGGCCUCGGCCUCACAGCGGACUCUCCACGCCCAGCUAGCUCUCGCCUCACUGUGGCCUCCCCAGUCCAAAGCUCCUGCCUCUCGGCCGCUUCAGCAGGCCCAGCUCCCGCCUGCCAGUGGCCUCUUUAGGCCCAGCUCAUUCCUCACAAUGGCCUUUCCAGGCCCCGUUUUUCCCUUCUGGCAGCCUCU
Molecule: long non-coding RNA, 8165 nt
Filed under: Pan troglodytes (chimpanzee)
Lineage: Eukaryota; Metazoa; Chordata; Mammalia; Primates; Hominidae
Description: lincRNA
Source: RNAcentral